UACAGAGGGGGCCAGCGUUAUUCGGAAUUAUUGGGCGUAAAGGGCGCGUAGGCGGCCAUGCGUGUCUUCCGUGAAAUCCCUCGGCUUAACCGAGGAACUGCCGUCCAAACUGCUUCGCUUGAGACCGGGAGAGGUGAGUGGAAUUCCCAGUGUAGCGGUGAAAUGCGUAGAUAUUGGGAGGAACACCAGUGGCGAAGGCGGCUCACUGGACCGGUACUGACGCUGAUGCGCGAAAGCGUGCGGAGCAAACGGG
This 253-nucleotide ribosomal RNA is filed under the name uncultured prokaryote. Its description in RNAcentral is "partial 16S ribosomal RNA". It matches the Rfam family "Bacterial small subunit ribosomal RNA", at positions 524 to 776 of the family's 1533-position model. The record is from RNAcentral.